GACGGAGCAGGCAAGCGUUGUUCGGAAUCACUGGGCUUAAAGCGCGUGUAGGCGGUCUCGCAAGUACCUUGUGAAAGCCCUCGUCUCAACCGAGGAACUGCUUGGUAUACUGCGGGACUUGAGGUAGGUAGGGGUGCUUGGAACUCUAGGUGGAGCGGUGAAAUGCGUAGAGAUCUAGGGGAACGCCUGUGGCGAAAGCGGAGCACUGGGCCUUACCUGACGCUGAGACGCGAAAGCGUGGGUAGCAAACGGG
RNAcentral lists this ribosomal RNA (253 nucleotides) under uncultured bacterium. RNAcentral describes it as "partial 16S ribosomal RNA". It matches the Rfam family "Bacterial small subunit ribosomal RNA", at positions 524 to 776 of the family's 1533-position model. The record is from RNAcentral.